UUGGAGGGCAAGUCUGGUGCCAGCAGCCGCGGUAAUUCCAGCUCCAAUAGCGUAUAUUAAAGUUGUUGCAGUUAAAAAGCUCGUAGUUGAAUUUCGGGGUCAGUAGGUUGGUCAUGCCACUGGUAUGUACUGGUCUCACUGAUUCCUCCUUCCUGAUGAACUGUAAUGCCAUUAAUUUGGUGUUGCAGGGAAUCUGGACCUUUACCUUGAAAAAAUUAGAGUGUUCAAAGCAGGCUUACGUCUGAAUACAUUAGCAUGGAAUAAUAAAAUAGGACGGUGGUCCUGUUUUGUUGGUUUCUGAAUCACCGUAAUGAUUAAUAGGGAUAGUUGGGGGCAUUAGUAUUCAAUUGUCAGAGGUGAAAUUCUUGGAUUUAUUGAAGACUAACUUCUGCGAAAGCAUUUGCCAAGGAUGUUUUCAUUAAUCAAGAACGAAAGUUAGGGGAUCGAAGACGAUCAGAUACCGUCGUAGUCUUAACCAUAAACUAUGCCGACUAGGGAUCGGACGAUGUUAAAUUUUAUUGACUCGUUCGGCGCCUUACGGGAAAC
Molecule: ribosomal RNA, 546 nt
Filed under: uncultured Glomeromycotina
Lineage: Eukaryota; Fungi; Glomeromycota
Description: SSU rRNA
Rfam family: Eukaryotic small subunit ribosomal RNA
Source: RNAcentral